GGCUAAUGACCUAAAGCAAAAGGGAAAGAGAGUAGAUCAGACCAACAUUGAUCGUGUUAUACAAGGAGCAUACGAGAAGACAUUAAGGAGUUAUAAUUCGUCAGCCAUGGAUUCAGAUAGACAAUAUCAACCUCUAGUGUUAAUGAGAGCAACCAAAGCUCAUUAAAGUAUUUGAACCGUGUUUGCAAAUGUCGAAAAAGGGCAUUAGUGAGAAUUUCAGAGUCUUCCCGAAAUAAGAACAUGUUAUACUAUUGCUGCGAAGAUUCGCCAAAUGGAUGUCGGUUCUUCUCCUGGUGUGACCCCAUUGAUGUACCAAAUCGACAAAAUCUGGUAGGAGAUACUCCACAAACAAUUGGAGAUGAAAGAAUGCAGGACAAUCAACUAAAGGAAGAGAUUCGAACAUUGAAGAAAAGAAUGAAGAUGGUGGAGGAGUCUUUUAGGACACUAACUAUUGUGAUAAUUGUUAUGUCAAUGUUCUUUCUUGUGAUGAGUAUUAAGAAAUGAUAAAGAUUGUUAGCUAGUGGGAACAUGUAAUAGGGCUUAUAUGAGUUUCAAUGAAAUGACUUAUUUUGGUGUUAUUA
Molecule: long non-coding RNA, 581 nt
Organism: Macadamia integrifolia
Lineage: Eukaryota; Viridiplantae; Streptophyta; Magnoliopsida; Proteales; Proteaceae
Exons: 2
Source: RefSeq, a predicted model, not a curated record